Molecule: ribosomal RNA, 882 nt
Filed under: uncultured fungus
Lineage: Eukaryota; Fungi
Description: LSU rRNA
Rfam family: Eukaryotic large subunit ribosomal RNA
Source: RNAcentral
CAACAGGGGAUUGCCUCAGUAACGGCGAGUGAAGCGGCAACAGCUCAAAUUUGAAAUCUGCCGCAAGGCCGAGUUGUAAUUUGUAGAGGAUGCUUCUGGGCAGCGGCCGGUCUAAGUUCCUUGGAACAGGACGUCAUAGAGGGUGAGAAUCCCGUAUGCGACCGGUUGGCACCCGUCACGUAGCUCCUUCGACGAGUCGAGUUGUUUGGGAAUGCAGCUCUAAAUGGGUGGUAAAUUCCAUCUAAAGCUAAAUAUUGGCCGGAGACCGAUAGCGCACAAGUAGAGUGAUCGAAAGAUGAAAAGCACUUUGGAAAGAGAGUUAAACAGUACGUGAAAUUGUUGAAAGGGAAGCGCUUGCAACCAGACUUGCCCGCGGUCGAUCAACCGAUGUUCUCACCGGUGCACUCGACCGUGGUCAGGCCAGCAUCGGUUCUGGCGGUGGGACAAAGAUUGCGGGAAUGUGGCUCCUCUCGGGGAGUGUUAUAGCCCGUGGUGCAAUGCCACCUGCCGGGACCGAGGACCGCGCUUCGGCUAGGAUGCUGGCGUAAUGGUUGUAAGCGACCCGUCUUGAAACACGGACCAAGGAGUCUAACAUCUAUGCGAGUGUUUGGGUGUCAAACCCAUACGCGGAAUGAAAGUGAACGGAGGUGGGAACCCUUAAGGGUGCACCAUCGACCGAUCCUGAUGUCUUCGGAUGGAUUUGAGUAAGAGCAUAGCUGUUGGGACCCGAAAGAUGGUGAACUAUGCCUGAAUAGGGUGAAGCCAGAGGAAACUCUGGUGGAGGCUCGCAGCGGUUCUGACGUGCAAAUCGAUCGUCAAAUUUGGGGUAUAGGGGGCGAAAGACUAAUCGAACCAUCUAGUAGCUGGUUCCUGCCGAAGUUU